AAAUAGAUACCCCAGGUAGUCCACGCCGUAAACGAUGAGUGCUAAGUGUUAGAGGGUUUCCGCCCUUUAGUGCUGCAGCUAACGCAUUAAGCACUCCGCCUGGGGAGUACGGCCGCAAGGCUGAAACUCAAAGGAAUUGACGGGGGCCCGCACAAGCGGUGGAGCAUGUGGUUUAAUUCGAAGCAACGCGAAGAACCUUACCAGGUCUUGACAUCCUCUGCCAACCCUAGAGAUAGGGCGUUCCCCUUCGGGGGACAGAGUGACAGGUGGUGCAUGGUUGUCGUCAGCUCGUGUCGUGAGAUGUUGGGUUAAGUCCCGCAACGAGCGCAACCCUUGAUCUUAGUUGCCAGCAUUCAGUUGGGCACUCUAAGGUGACUGCCGGUGACAAACCGGAGGAAGGUGGGGAUGACGUCAAAUCAUCAUGCCCCUUAUGACCUGGGCUACACACGUGCUACAAUGGAUGGUACAAAGAGCUGCGAACCCGCGAGGUAAGCGAAUCUCAUAAAGCCAUUCUCAGUUCGGAUUGU
RNAcentral lists this ribosomal RNA (527 nucleotides) under uncultured bacterium. RNAcentral's name for it is "bacterial SSU rRNA". It matches the Rfam family "Bacterial small subunit ribosomal RNA", at positions 776 to 1301 of the family's 1533-position model. The record is from RNAcentral.